Molecule: long non-coding RNA, 1274 nt
Organism: Telopea speciosissima
Lineage: Eukaryota; Viridiplantae; Streptophyta; Magnoliopsida; Proteales; Proteaceae
Exons: 2
Source: RefSeq, a predicted model, not a curated record
GGAUGAAUCAUAAAUACCUACUACUGAGUUCAUUGAUGGAUGUUCUUUGGGAUUUAAAUCUUUGUCCUUUCUGGGGACAAGACUAAUAAAAUUAGUUCUCAUGUUGGGAUUGAUAGUUGAUACCCUACUUAAAAAGACCUAUCAAUCAUGACAAUACAUUCACUUGCACCAUCAACUGACUUCUUGGAAGAAGCAUAGACUGAUGAAGUGCAAGAUACAUAAGAAGUUCCAAUUGAUCUGUUUGUUAUGUCCUUUUAGGAAUAUUUGGUGGUUUUGUUGGUACUUUAGUCUAAUCACGAAGUUUGUUAACAGUCUUCUAAUCUAACAGUAAUUUAGUCAGUGGUCUACUCAAACUUUGGAAUUAGUUAGAGUUAGAACUUCAUUAUAUAUUAGUUAUUUUUUUUAUGGGUCCUAUUAAUCAAAUAACCCAACGAGAUCAAUCUGCAACCUUUUGAAUUGUGAAGAUAUAAAGUGUUUACGGUUUCAAAGUAAUUUGAGCUUUAGUUUCUUUGAGUGCCAAAGUUAGUUUUUAGUGUUUGUUAUGCACACAGCAAUCUACAUCAACUCUGUUAAGGAACAAGGAGGUGGUAAUUUGCAAACAUACUAUUUUAAGAGCAAAAAAAUAAUUUUAGGUUGUAUUUGGUUGUCCAAUGAUUGUGGGAGAUUGGGGAGAAGUGUUGUAGAAUGUACGAUAGUGAAUUAAAGUGAGAGAAAAUGCUCCCCAUUUUCUAAAUUUUGUUUGGUUGCAGUAGGAAAGUGUAAAAAAGGUUACUUUCCUGAGAAUGUGGUCAAGGUCCAACCAUUUUGGUGGGAUUCUUCAGCAGAUCUAUUUGGAGGAAUAAGGAAAUGGGUGGGCAAGCUGCCAUUCCCAAGACAUUCUCCUGAGCUACCCAAUGACAAAAAACUUGCAGAAAGUGGCCAAAAAGGGUACUUUCAGAUACUCUCCUACACUGUAUGGACAACCACACAAUGCCUAAGAUCUUUGGGUUUUUCUUGCAGACUAUGCAGACACGGAGGCUUGUUUUUCAUUUACCUUGAUGACAGAUCUCUUUAACUCUUCCUUCCUCAAGAGCACUCUACCGCCUAACUGCCUGGCUCAUUAGGAUGAAGCCGCCCUAGUUGUUGUGCUUCACUGAUGACCCAUUUUUUCAAGUGUUAUGAAAUAAGUCACUUUGGUUCAGUUUUUGCAAUAUCUUUCACAACCACUCCAUUAAUUUUAAUCCUCAAAGUACCGGUCAAAAAUAAAUAAAUAAAUUUAGUCAGUUUUUCUUUUC